Molecule: small RNA, 76 nt
Filed under: Oxalobacteraceae bacterium
Lineage: Bacteria; Pseudomonadati; Pseudomonadota; Betaproteobacteria; Burkholderiales; Oxalobacteraceae
Description: sX9 sRNA
Rfam family: Xanthomonas sRNA sX9
Source: RNAcentral
AUGGACCACUCGCACACUCCGGUUCCGGGCGCGCCGUCCGCCCCACCUGACGAGAGCUUGCUACGUUGUGUUAGCC